RNAcentral lists this ribosomal RNA (490 nucleotides) under uncultured bacterium. Its description in RNAcentral is "partial 16S ribosomal RNA". It matches the Rfam family "Bacterial small subunit ribosomal RNA", at positions 28 to 507 of the family's 1533-position model. The record is from RNAcentral.
GAUGAACGCUAGCUACAGGCUUAACACAUGCAAGUCGAGGGGCAGCAUGGUCUUAGCUUGCUAAGGCCGAUGGCGACCGGCGCACGGGUGAGUAACACGUAUCCAACCUGCCGUCUACUCUUGGACAGCCUUCUGAAAGGAAGAUUAAUACAAGAUGGCAUCAUGAGUCCGCAUGUUCACAUGAUUAAAGGUAUUCCGGUAGACGAUGGGGAUGCGUUCCAUUAGAUAGUAGGCGGGGUAACGGCCCACCUAGUCUUCGAUGGAUAGGGGUUCUGAGAGGAAGGUCACCCACAUUGGAACUGAGACACGGUCCAAACUCCUACGGGAGGCAGCAGUGAGGAAUAUUGGUCAAUGGGCGAGAGCCUGAACCAGCCAAGUAGCGUGAAGGAUGACUGCCCUAUGGGUUGUAAACUUCUUUUAUAAAGGAAUAAAGUCGGGUAUGGAUACCCGUUUGCAUGUACUUUAUGAAUAAGGAUCGGCUAACUCCGUG